GCGGGUGUGGCGGAAUGGCAGACGCGCUAGAUUUAGGAUCUAGUGUCUUUGACGUGGGGGUUCAAGUCCCUUCACCCGCACCA
Molecule: transfer RNA, 83 nt
Filed under: Pullulanibacillus sp. KACC 23026
Lineage: Bacteria; Bacillati; Bacillota; Bacilli; Caryophanales; Sporolactobacillaceae
Also listed under: 1 other name
Description: tRNA-Leu
Rfam family: tRNA
About the family: Transfer RNA (tRNA) molecules are approximately 80 nucleotides in length.
Source: RNAcentral